Pelobates cultripes (western spadefoot toad) is the source of this 1383-nucleotide non-coding RNA. The record is from the annotation of a GenBank genome assembly. NCBI's taxonomy places the organism in Eukaryota, Metazoa, Chordata, Amphibia, Anura, Pelobatidae.
CUCGGUUCUGGAGGGGCUUUUGUGCUGAGAUGGGGAUCUCCUUGUCAUUUACGUCCCCCUAUCAUCCACAAUCUAAUGGAGCUGCCGAACGAGCAAAUCAAUCUGUAGAGUUAUAUUUACGCUGCUUCACGAAUGCGCACCAGGACAACUGGUCUCACCUCCUUCCCUGGGCUGAAUUCGCCAGAACACUGUGACUCAUUCGUCCACUGGCUUAAGUCCUUUUAUGGUUGCUUAUGGGUUCCAACCCUCUGUUCUUCCCGGCGUGUUCUCUGACAAGGUUGUGACGAGACCAAUCUCGCCACAUUGCAUUGGAGAAGCCUGGUUGCUCGCCUGUUGCCUUUGGAUUAUGGCCCCAUGUUAAAAGGCUUGAUUUUCCCCUGCAAAGACAUGAAAGCCGGGUCAUUUGGUGCUUGCCCUGUUUGAGCGGUGAUACCCCAGAUAGCUAUGCCAUGGAGCCUAUUCGUAUAAUGAAAGACUAUGGGAAAGACUUUGGCUCCAUGGCAAUUGAUCUGUAUGUGUGUGCUCUGAGCGCCAUUCAGUAAUAAUGUGUGCUCAGAUCUGAGCUAUCUGGGGAUAUGUUGAAUGUACCUGUUUUGUGCAAUGGCUGCCAUGUGUUCAGUGGAGUUUUGCCUCUGUCUUUGGAGAUAAUUGGAUUACUUCCCAAUUAUCUCCAGGAUAGUAAUCCAAUUAUCUCCAAAGACAACCAGGUACUGGUUUUGGGCAGAAAAAACAUGCUUCCUUUGGUCACAAAGGACUACGAUCUAUCUUUUGAACCAUUGGACCAAUUUGUAUGAAUUUGACAUAUGGAGUAUGCUGAUUCUGAAAAUGUAAGUUUUAUGUGAAUGUGAUGCAUACUUUUCAAGUUAUGAAUAAUGUGGAAAAAUUUAAUUUCUCUGCUUGUGAUAAUUACAUUACCCAUUGUGUAAGGUAAUUGAAUCACAGGCAGAGGGGAGGAAUUUGUGUGGGAGUGUGUGAGUGUAUUGUAUGUGUUUAUUGGUUGUGUUCCAAAACCCUGUGGGUGGUACUAAUGUGUACAUAAGCACAAUAAACCCACAGCUCUGACUGUUCACUGCUUGACCCUCAACACAGAGCUUUGUCUCGUUCUUGGGGGGAUUUAUUGUAUGCUGUUCCAGUUUGACUGCUAGGAGUGUAAACCUAUUCAUAUGGUUUUUCCUAUUCGGCUGUUUACAGCAUUCAUAUGGUUUCCUGUUCGACGGAUUGGUGUUCUGCAGUAGCUGUGCCUGUGUCUCUGGAAGGGAAGAUCUACUAAACGGCAGUUUAACCCUUUUAUGCUGAGGGUGCCGUUACAAAUGAAAUACCCGCUUUGGACGAGCACCUCACCUCUGUAUGGAAGAUAUGGGAUCAGGUCCAUGCUACUCUUUC